CAUGGUGAGAUCACUCUUUAAACUAUUUGAACUAUUUACAUAAUUCCUACUG
This 52-nucleotide non-coding RNA is filed under the name Plasmodium falciparum 3D7. Lineage: Eukaryota; Apicomplexa; Aconoidasida; Haemosporida; Plasmodiidae. The record is from RNAcentral.